AGUGAACGCUGGCGGCGUGCUUAACACAUGCAAGUCGAACGGGUUUCCGCAGUGUAUCGCGGAAAUUAGUGGCAGACGGGUGAGUAUCACAUAGGUCAUUUACCCCUGAGAGGAAAAUAACCCCGAGAAAUCGGGGCUAAUGUUCCAUAAGACCACGGUCUUUCCUACGAAAGGCUGGGGCCAAAGCUCCGCAAGGGGCGCUUGGGGAUGAGCCUGUGUCCUAUCAGCUAGUGGUGAGGUAACGGCCCACCAAGGCGUGGACGGGUAGCCGGCCUGAGAGGGUGUUCGGUCACACUGGGACUGAGAUACGGCCCAGACUCCUACGGGAGGCAGCAGUGGGGG
Molecule: ribosomal RNA, 342 nt
Filed under: uncultured bacterium
Lineage: Bacteria
Description: bacterial SSU rRNA
Rfam family: Bacterial small subunit ribosomal RNA
Source: RNAcentral